RNAcentral lists this transfer RNA (72 nucleotides) under Pangasianodon hypophthalmus (striped catfish). Its description in RNAcentral is "tRNA-Glu". It matches the Rfam family "tRNA". From Rfam's summary of the family: Transfer RNA (tRNA) molecules are approximately 80 nucleotides in length. Their secondary structure includes four short double-helical elements and three loops (D, anti-codon, and T loops). Further hydrogen bonds mediate the characteristic L-shaped molecular structure. tRNAs have two regions of fundamental functional importance: the anti-codon, which is responsible for specific mRNA codon recognition, and the 3' end, to which the tRNAs corresponding amino acid is attached (by aminoacyl-tRNA synthetases). tRNAs cope with the degeneracy of the genetic code in two manners: having more than one tRNA (with a specific anti-codon) for a particular amino acid; and 'wobble' base-pairing, i.e. permitting non-standard base-pairing at the 3rd anti-codon position. The record is from RNAcentral. Lineage: Eukaryota; Metazoa; Chordata; Actinopteri; Siluriformes; Pangasiidae.
UCCCUGGAGGACUAGUGGCUAGGCCUUGGCGCCCUCACCGCCAUGGCCAGGGUUCGAUUCCCGGCCAGGAAA